This 200-nucleotide unclassified non-coding RNA is filed under the name soil metagenome. Its description in RNAcentral is "partial contains internal transcribed spacer 2 and large subunit ribosomal RNA". The record is from RNAcentral.
UCGAGCGUCAUUACAACCCUCAAGCCUAGCUUGGUAUUGGGCUUCGCCGUUCACGCGGUGGGCUCUAAAACUAGUGGCGGUGCUAUCGUAGCCUGAGCGUAGUAAAUAUCCUCGCUAUAGGGACACGGUGGUCACUGGCCAACAACCCCCAACUUUCUAAGUUUGACCUCGGAUCAGGUAGGGAUACCCGCUGAACUUAA